GGAGAUAGUGAAGUGCUUGCCAUGAAAGCAUGAUGCCCGAGUUCAAUCCUCAAAACUGAGGAACAAAGACAAACAGGUGUGUGGUGGUAUAUGCACUUACAGUCUGUGCUGUGAAGGCGGAAACAGGUGGAUCCUUAGGGGUCAUUGACCACUCUGGCUAGUUAAUCAGUAAGUUUCAGGCCAAUGAGAGAGGCUAUUUCAAGAGACGAGGUGAACAGCAACUGAGGAACAAUGCCUGAGUUUGACCACUGAGUUCUACGUGCACCAGCUCCCAUGUACACACAGACACUCAAUCAUGGAGUCCCUUUGCUAAGGUCAGAGUAACAGCACCCUUACCCCAGUUAGUCCUUGGUGCUAUUUGCCUAAUUAUGGAAUUACAAUCAUCUUUUUCUUUUCUUUUCUUUUCUUUUCUUUUCUUUUCUUUUCUUUUCUUUUUUAAUUUGGGAAUAGUUAAUUCAUGAUCCCUGAAAUGCUUGUCUCUUAGAAGUUGUAUAUUUUGGGAGGUUUAAAGUAUAAAACUUGAGGAAAUAGCUUAGUUUCUUCACAUUGCAUAUCUGCAUGAGGAGAGAUAGGUCAGGUAUCUGUGGAGGAAUAUACUCUAGGCCCUGAGUUUUCUUAGAAUUCUAGAAAUGUGCCUCAAUUCAAUCACUUGAUAAUGUAGUACAGGAGAUGAAGUCCUUUGCCUCUUGUCACAUUGAUUAGAGGUGGCAGCUGUGGAAUUUGAACACAGGCCAGCUAUGGCUCUGGAUAGUCUCAGCAGUAUCUGGCUUGGACACAGUGUUGAUCCUGUAGAGAGGCAGCAGAGAGGGCCAGGGUCUAAAUGCAACCUUGUUACGCACUUGGUCCUUAUGUGCUGAUAGAGGCAACAGAUCAACCUGGUGAGAAGACCCUGAAGAAUAGAGAUUCCAAAAAGAGUGUUGGCAAGGUGUAAGAGUACCGCAAGUGCUCCUGGAUUUAAUAAGGCCCUUUAUAUCUUAGACCAGUGUCAGGGAGGAGCUGAAUAUGUCCUGCAUGAAGCAAGCCUGAGUGCCGGUAGCGCUCAUGUGAGCUGCUAAGGAGUUUCCAGACUCACCAAACACAAAUACUGUGACCUAGAUCCAGGCACUAUUCAUACAGUUUAUUAAGUCCAUUAACACCUAAAAGACUUUUUUUUCCCUGUAUCUUACAAACUGUAGUGGUGUUUAUCUUUCAUCAUGAAAGUAAAUAUAUUUGAAAGCAAGUAUAUCUUUUAGGCUCCAAGAAAUUGAAGAUAGGGUAGUGCCUGUUAGUAGCUUACUUUAUAAUUUUUUUUUUUUGUGAUAAAGUGUAAAUAACCAUUUGAGGUAUACAGUUUGGUGGCACUAGCUAUGCCUUGUUAUUGUGCAGCCAACACCACCAUCUCUAGAACAUUUUUUUUUUUUUCUUUUCUCAGAAGCCAGGAGUUACCAAUGCUUGUCUUCUACCUCAGUCAAAGCCUUCACUCUGUAAAGGGGAAGACACAGGAAACCCACCAUGCUAUUGUUAAAUCCCAGGUGGAAUUUGCCUUCUUCAGGACAAAAGUGUUGGUUACUAACUCAAAUGGAGAAUGGGUUUUGUGUUUUCACACACAUUACUGAUUUCAAAAGGCACAAUAGGUUUGUAACUGUUAAUACAAUUACAGCGUGGUGGUAUUUGCUUCUUACCUUACUUUGUCAACAUUCUGGAUUACAGUAGUAGUAGUUGUAUAGACAUUAAUUCUUGGUUUUUGCUAAAUGCUAGUCCUGGAGAGACAGUGUUAAAACCAGCAGACAAGGCUCCCAUGAGAAGGGCUCUUGACAUCUUAGUUUUUUAUUUUAUUUUUUAUUGUUUUGUACUUCUUUAACAUAUUUGUUGUAGUGCUUAGUAUAUAGGGUUUUAUACUUUAUUUUAGAGUGUAAUUAGCUUGAAAUCAUUUGGUUUUGUAAAUCACAGAUCUGCCUCAUUCCACAAACCAAUUUCAAAAACUGAUUUUCAAGUGUUAUUUCACUAAAAAAAACCAGCUCUUCCAGUGUAAAUGUAAUUUUUGUAAGAAUUAGUUUUAGCGGUUGGAAUGUAGCUCAGCUGGUAGAGUAAAUUUGUUCAGCAUCAACUCAGCCUUGGAUGUUGUCACAAUCACCACAUGAAGCCAAUAUGGUUGGAUAAUUCCAGGACAUGGGAAGUGUAGUAAAGGGAAUCAGAAGUUCAAGGUCAGCUUGGGUAUUUGAGAGGUUAUUUUGUUGUUGUUGUUGGUGGUGGUGUGUUUUGUUUUGUUUUGUUUUGUUUUGUUUUGUUUUUUGAGACAGGGUUUCUCUGUGUAGCCCUGGCUGGCCUGGAACUCACUUUGUAGACCAGGCUGGCCUCGAACUCAGAAAUCCACCUGCCUCUGCCUCCCGAGUGCUGGGAUUAAAGUCGUGCGCCACCAUGCCUGACUGAGAGAUUAUUUUAAAAAAGGAUUUAAAAAAUGAUUUAUCAUCAGCAAACUUUUAUUUGGAUGUUUUUAUUAGGGAAUGGAGAGGAAGAACAGGCUAUAUCGAACUGCUGGCU
This 2520-nucleotide long non-coding RNA is filed under the name Mus musculus (house mouse). Its description in RNAcentral is "long non-coding RNA chr13:9445899-9448419". The record is from RNAcentral. Lineage: Eukaryota; Metazoa; Chordata; Mammalia; Rodentia; Muridae.